UACAGAGGGUGCAAGCGUUAAUCGGAAUUACUGGGCGUAAAGCGUGCGUAGUCGGCUUUUUAAGUCGGAUGUGAAAGCCCCGGGCUCAACCUGGGAACUGCAUUCGAUACUGGGCGGCUAGAGUAUGAGAGAGGGAGGUAGAAUUCCACGUGUAGCGGUGAAAUGCGUAGAGAUGUGGAGGAACACCGAUGGCGAAGGCAGCCCCCUGGGCUAACACUGACGCUCAUGCACGAAAGCGUGGGGAGCAAACAGG
RNAcentral lists this ribosomal RNA (253 nucleotides) under uncultured bacterium. RNAcentral describes it as "partial 16S ribosomal RNA". It matches the Rfam family "Bacterial small subunit ribosomal RNA", at positions 524 to 776 of the family's 1533-position model. The record is from RNAcentral.